UCCCCAUCCCCCGAUUCCUCUCCCUCUCUCCCUCGUCCGCCGCCACCACCACUCAACGGCCCGCGCCCUCCCUCAUAGCCGCCGCCGCCAGCGCCCUCCCCCACAUCCUGCGCCCCACCCCUUCUCUCCUCCCCUCCCCUUAUCGUCAUCACCGACGACCUCAUCGCCUUCCCCUCGCUCCAGAUCGAGCAGCAGGUCCGGAUCCACGACGAAGGCGGCGCGAGCGCCCCGGUGUGCAGGUUCAAGCCGCGUGAAGAGGGUGCUCGUUGCGGCUCUAACCCUGAUGCCAACGCCAUGAAGAAGGAGAACAUCUCUCCUGUUCGUGAAGCAUCCCCAACCCUAGCCCUUCUUUGCCCAUGACGACCGAGCAGACAGGAGGUACUAAUCCCUCCACUUAUCUGGUUUUCUUCACCCUUAUGUGAUGCGUGCCGUCUACUUUUGUGCAUGUUUCAUGGAGAGGAGAAGCUGCUUCAAUCCCAUCUGCUCAAGGAGGAUGCCCACCAUCCAAGGUGCUCAACAUCAUCACCAUUUGUUGCCUGCCAAGGCUUGAUAGGUUGGAAAAUGUCUUCAAGAUUUGUCAGUCAGUGAGUUUCUUGACUAAAUAUGCAGUAGAAACAAGACCUGAUAGAGCUGAGUUCACUGAAUAUGAGGUAGAUGAUAACAUGGUCGGCCACCAGGGAGCUAGCUUAGUUGAGAUGCGAUGCGCGGAAAUCAAAAAUGGAAAGAAGCCCCAGGGGCAGUACGGGGGAAGCAUCCGUAAGAUCACUGAAUGCAAUGGGACACGUGUGAACCAAACUGAAUUAAGAUCAUCAGUGCCAACACAUACAGAGAGAAGCAAGUGGCAACCGCCAGCUGAAGGCAUUUGGAAAUUAAACACUGACACAUCCUUCCUGUCCAAUACGAGAGAUUCUGCGGCAGGUUUUAUUGCCAGAACAAAUGAGGGUGUGGUUGUUUUGGCAGGUGGCCAACGCUUGCAAGCUUGUGAGGACCCGGAGGAAGCUGAAUUUGCUGCUGUUGCACAUGGACUUGCAGUGUUAAGCAAGUACUACAGAGGUCCAGUGUGUGUGGAGUCGGACUGUGCAUCAAUUGUCACAUUGCUGAAUAACAGAGCAUGCAACCGAUCGGCCCGGUUUGCCCGAGUAGCGGACAUCUGGCACUUCGAGAAUGUGUUCAAAGAAGUGUCCUUCAGAGAUGUGAGAAGAUCCAGCUACAAAAUGGCGCAUGAGCUUGCGGCUCAAGCAAGGAGACAGGGAGACUAUCUUAUAAUCGGAGACGUUCCACUUUCUUUAAGAAGGAUCCUCAUGGAGGAUUGUAAUAGCUCUCCCAAUGUUAUCUAAGUGUAGCUGGGUUGGUCCUAAAAAAAGAUGAUAAGAGGAUACAGUACCACAACGAAUACAUGUUAGAUGCUAUAAGGUGAUUUAAUUUCUCUGUGCAUAUACUAGAAGUGAAUCACCAACACUGAGCAUCAUCAAUGUGUGCCACUGUAAUCGCUGACCAGAUUGGUACUUAAGUGCUCGAUAUGCAGCCUGAACUACUGCAGGAAAUAAGGCUGCAACAUCUGCGGGUACUUUUUAGAAUGGAGUUGUUUUAAAUACUAGACUACCUACAGGACUGAGCGCUCCAGGUGUGGAGGAUGGUUCUUCCGAUUAAUCGUCGUGUUGAGGCAAGUGCACGACGGACCUUUCUCCGUAUACGUUACUGUGUUGUUGACGUAGGUAUAUGAAAAUGAGUUGAGUAGUCUGAUUAGAAGAUGAGGGAGGACGUCGAGAUUUUGAUCCAGCAGCCUUGCCCCCUUCUCGUUCAGCGUGCCACCUGCAGGAGGUUACGUUCAAGAUCUUCAGAAUUUUUAGAUGAUUCCUUAUUCUAAAGACCUUAGCUUUGUGGACUAUACAUACAAGAACUUGGAAGCUGUGAAAGGUUAUUCAGAAAUACUAUGAAGUUCGCUACAGAGAAUGUGAAUGUCCUUCAAACGUGAGUUUUGAAGAGAAAUGUUCAGUCUUCCAGAUGAUCCUGUUAACACUUGGAGUUUCAACUCGGAUGGCGAAACCUCAACUUCCGAUUCCAAUAAUUUCAUGGUUUCUAGCUUUAUACACAUUAACUGAUCUUCUUAUGUGGGCAUCUCUAAAAGAGGAGAAUGAGUCGCUUAUAAAGCCAAAGUAUCUAAGCUGCAAACCAAUCUAAGAAAGUUAAGACAAGCUUAUCCCUAGCAGAGGGAAAUUGUAUGCUGCACCUGCUCUCACAUGGGCACACACACAUAUUAGGAGUGUAUACUCAAGCCUAAAGCAUCCUGUCACUCUGUGCUAUCUUUGGGUAAUAAUUUAUAUAGAUUGUCCCUGGGUGCAUUGUUGUACUAUCGGCUAUUGUAGGGCUGUCGCUCCUCUCUGGUCAGUGAGAUGGCCCAUGAUUUCUAUUUACAUAUGGUUCUUAGGUAUGUAGGAGCAAAGGUCUCAAAUCAUUUUGCUUGUUAUGAUUGGCACUAAAAGACCUCUAAUUAUGUUUCGGCUUC
Triticum dicoccoides is the source of this 2506-nucleotide long non-coding RNA. RefSeq lists it as uncharacterized. The transcript is spliced from 8 exons. Lineage: Eukaryota; Viridiplantae; Streptophyta; Magnoliopsida; Poales; Poaceae. The record is from RefSeq and is a predicted model, not a curated record.